GACGAACGCUGGCGGCGUGCUUAACACAUGCAAGUCGAACGAAGAGCGAUGGAAGCUUGCUUCUAUCAAUCUUAGUGGCGAACGGGUGAGUAACGCGUAAUCAACCUGCCCUUCAGAGGGGGACAACAGUUGGAAACGACUGCUAAUACCGCAUACGAUCUAAUCUCGGCAUCGAGGAUAGAUGAAAGGUGGCCUCUACAUGUAAGCUAUCACUGAAGGAGGGGAUUGCGUCUGAUUAGCUAGUUGGAGGGGUAACGGCCCACCAAGGCGAGGAUCAGUAGCCGGUCUGAGAGGAUGAACGGCCACAUUGGGACUGAGACACGGCCCAGACUCCUACGGGAGGCAGCAGUGGGGAAUCUUCCGCAAUGGACGAAAGUCUGACGGAGCAACGCCGCGUGAGUGAUGACGGCCUUCGGGUUGUAAAGCUCUGUUAAUCGGGACGAAAGGCCUUCUUGCGAAUAGUGAGAAGGAUUGACGGUACCGUAAUAGAAAGCCACGGCUAACUACGUG
RNAcentral lists this ribosomal RNA (510 nucleotides) under uncultured bacterium. RNAcentral describes it as "partial 16S ribosomal RNA". It matches the Rfam family "Bacterial small subunit ribosomal RNA", at positions 28 to 507 of the family's 1533-position model. The record is from RNAcentral.